UACGUAGGGGGCUAGCGUUGCUCGGAAUCACUGGGCGUAAAGGGCGCGUAGGCGGCCAUUCAAGUCGGAGGUGAAAGCCCAGGGCUCAACCCUGGAAUUGCCUUCGAUACUGUCUGGCUAGAGACCGGAAGAGGUAAGUGGAACUGCGAGUGUAGAGGUGAAAUUCGUAGAUAUUCGCAAGAACACCAGUGGCGAAGGCGGCUUACUGGUCCGGUUCUGACGCUGAGGCGCGAAAGCGUGGGGAGCAAACAGG
This 253-nucleotide ribosomal RNA is filed under the name uncultured bacterium. Its description in RNAcentral is "partial 16S ribosomal RNA". It matches the Rfam family "Bacterial small subunit ribosomal RNA", at positions 524 to 776 of the family's 1533-position model. The record is from RNAcentral.